CCUUCGAUAGCUCAGCUGGUAGAGCGGAGGACUGUAGACGGGAUCCGUGCGGACAUCCUUAGGUCGCUGGUUCGAUUCCGGCUCGAAGGA
Molecule: transfer RNA, 90 nt
Filed under: Sus scrofa (pig)
Lineage: Eukaryota; Metazoa; Chordata; Mammalia; Artiodactyla; Suidae
Rfam family: tRNA
About the family: Transfer RNA (tRNA) molecules are approximately 80 nucleotides in length. Their secondary structure includes four short double-helical elements and three loops (D, anti-codon, and T loops).
Source: Rfam by way of RNAcentral